AGGGGAUUAAGUUAAAUAAAACUAUUAAACUUCAAAUUUAAAUUUAAUCCUAGAUUAUUCCCUA
Molecule: transfer RNA, 64 nt
Filed under: Calanus sinicus
Lineage: Eukaryota; Metazoa; Arthropoda; Copepoda; Calanoida; Calanidae
Description: tRNA-Trp
Source: RNAcentral